This 77-nucleotide transfer RNA is filed under the name Clostridia bacterium. Its description in RNAcentral is "tRNA-His". It matches the Rfam family "tRNA". From Rfam's summary of the family: Transfer RNA (tRNA) molecules are approximately 80 nucleotides in length. Their secondary structure includes four short double-helical elements and three loops (D, anti-codon, and T loops). Further hydrogen bonds mediate the characteristic L-shaped molecular structure. tRNAs have two regions of fundamental functional importance: the anti-codon, which is responsible for specific mRNA codon recognition, and the 3' end, to which the tRNAs corresponding amino acid is attached (by aminoacyl-tRNA synthetases). tRNAs cope with the degeneracy of the genetic code in two manners: having more than one tRNA (with a specific anti-codon) for a particular amino acid; and 'wobble' base-pairing, i.e. permitting non-standard base-pairing at the 3rd anti-codon position. The record is from RNAcentral. Lineage: Bacteria; Bacillati; Bacillota; Clostridia.
GUGGAUUUGGUGUAGCUGGUUAACACGUCGGAUUGUGGUUCCGAAGAUCAAGGGUUCGAAUCCCUUACUCCACCCCA